UAAGGAAUAUUGGUCAAUGGACGCAAGUCUGAACCAGCCAUGCCGCGUGAAGGAUGAAGGCCCUCUGGGUUGUAACCUUCUUUUACAGGGGAAGAAAUCCGGGAAUUCUUUUCCGGUUGACGGUACCCUGGGAAUAAGCACCUGCUAACUCCGUGCCAGCAGCCGCGGUAAUACGGAGGGUGCAAGCGUUAUCCGGAUUCACUGGGUUUAAAGGGUGCGUAGGAGGGCAGGUAAGUCAGUGGUGAAAUCUCCGGGCUUAACUCGGAAACUGCCGUUGAUACUAUCUGUCUUGAAUCUUGUGGAGGUGAGCGGAAUAUGUCAUGUAGCGGUGAAAUGCUUAGAUAUGACAUAGAACACCAAUUGCGAAGGCAGCUCACUACACAAACAUUGACUCUGAGGCACGAAAGCGUGGGGAUCAAAC
RNAcentral lists this ribosomal RNA (421 nucleotides) under uncultured bacterium. RNAcentral's name for it is "bacterial SSU rRNA". It matches the Rfam family "Bacterial small subunit ribosomal RNA", at positions 355 to 773 of the family's 1533-position model. The record is from RNAcentral.